RNAcentral lists this transfer RNA (76 nucleotides) under Thermoanaerobacteraceae bacterium. Its description in RNAcentral is "tRNA-Met". It matches the Rfam family "tRNA". From Rfam's summary of the family: Transfer RNA (tRNA) molecules are approximately 80 nucleotides in length. Their secondary structure includes four short double-helical elements and three loops (D, anti-codon, and T loops). Further hydrogen bonds mediate the characteristic L-shaped molecular structure. tRNAs have two regions of fundamental functional importance: the anti-codon, which is responsible for specific mRNA codon recognition, and the 3' end, to which the tRNAs corresponding amino acid is attached (by aminoacyl-tRNA synthetases). tRNAs cope with the degeneracy of the genetic code in two manners: having more than one tRNA (with a specific anti-codon) for a particular amino acid; and 'wobble' base-pairing, i.e. permitting non-standard base-pairing at the 3rd anti-codon position. RNAcentral also lists the same sequence under 2 other names. Lineage: Bacteria; Bacillati; Bacillota; Clostridia; Thermoanaerobacterales; Thermoanaerobacteraceae. The record is from RNAcentral.
CGCGGGGUGGAGCAGUUGGCAGCUCGUCGGGCUCAUAACCCGGAGGUCGUAGGUUCAAGUCCUACCCCCGCAACCA